This is a long non-coding RNA of Asparagus officinalis (garden asparagus), 1610 nucleotides long. RefSeq lists it as uncharacterized. The transcript is spliced from 3 exons. The record is from RefSeq and is a predicted model, not a curated record. NCBI's taxonomy places the organism in Eukaryota, Viridiplantae, Streptophyta, Magnoliopsida, Asparagales, Asparagaceae.
UGAUAUUUCCCCCGUUCUCCCCAAUUAACCCGCGAUAUUUCCCCCCGAAAAAUUUCCCUAAAAUCGCCGCACCCCCCAAAAAUCUCCCCAGCCCUCGAAUCUUCAUCGUCGAAGUCUGACCGCGGCCGUCGGCCAACGUGCCUUUCGUCCACCGGCACUCUCGCCCUCCCCCACCGCCUUCAUCUUUGCCGGCACUCUCGUCCACCGACUCUCGCCGGGGAUCUUGCUUCACCGCCUCCUCCUCCACCGCCUCUCGAUUCCACCGCAUCCUCCUCCACCGCGUCCUCCUCCACCGCACUCUCGUCCACUAUUUUUAUGGGGCAAUUUUUUCUUUUUUGUUUUUUUUUUGUUUUUUGUUUUUUUUUUUGGUUUUUUUUUUUUUUUUUGGGUUUUAAGGCUAAAGCUUUGAUGGGUUUAUGAUGUUUAGGAUGUUUAUGCUCUGCCCACAUCUUGAUGAGAAGCAGAGGAUGAGGCUGAGCAGGGAUUUGGGGUUGGAACCAAAACAGAUCAAGUUUUGGUUUCAAAAUAGGAGGACCCAAAUGAAGUUAACAUUUUUUAACUUACUGUCUUCAACUAUUUUUGUGUUUUUUUGGAGAAAGUUUUGUUAGAUUUGGGUAUGAGAACAAAAAAGGGGCCUUUUAGGUUUCUGCUAUCAAGGUUUAAAAAAAAGAUUAUUACCAUUGUUGUGUUUCUAAGUUAGAUUGGUGAUAUUUUCUUUGAUGUAGGCACAACAUGAGAGGCAAGAUAACUGCUCUCUUCGUGCGGAAAAUGAUAAGAUCAGAUGCGAGAACAUUGCAAUGAGAGAGGCUUUGAAGAACAUAAUCUGCCAAAUUGCGGAGGACCUCCAGUAAAUGAAGACUCCUAUUUUGAUGAGUAGAAGCUUAGAAUGGGGAAUGCUAGAUUAAAAGAAGAGAUGUUUGGCCUCUCUAGCAAGCAGUCAAAAAUGCUACAUAGUCAGUUUUGUACUAGCCGUUUAAACAUAGAAGAUUAACACAUGAAGUAAUUUUUUUCGCCAAAAUUUGAGAAUAAAAACCUUUUUCUUAACACACUGGAUUUUUUCAAAGACUUAAUGACAGGAUUUUUUCAAAGCCCGGGCAUCAUUUUUUAGGCCCUGAUACCCGAGUUGAGGCCUCGAGUGAUUCUGGUGUUGUGUUCAUGAGCCUUGUGGCUUUGGUUGAUAUGUUCAUGGACUCGGUUAAGUGGAUGAAACUAUUUCCAACUAUAGUUUCUAAUGCAAGAAACAUAUAUACUUGGACAACCUAUUGCUCAAGGUUUGUCACGGGAGAAUCUUACUAAGAUAUUUGCAGAAUUAAGGCGUUUGGGCUUGUCCCAGGAGGACAUUCUUCGAGGAAUUUCUUAUGUUCCUUGACUGGAUGGAUCAGGCCACUCCUAUCUUAUAUUUUGGACGUAUGAGUCAUUUUGGAUAUUGGAGACAUAUAUAAUAUUGGAUGUUUUUCAUUGUGAGAUAUUGAGUAAUCAUUGUGUAUGUAUAUGUUUUUUCUCUAAUAUUAUAUGUUGAGUAAUCAUUGUGUAUGUAUAUAUAAUAUUGGAUAUUUAGCAUCGUUUGAGACGUAUAUAUAACACUGGAUAUAUAGCACUGUUUUGAGACA